GGUAGGGUGGCUGAGUAAGCGGUGGAUUGUAGCCCCACAUACAGAGGUUUAAGCCCUCUUCCUAUCA
This 67-nucleotide transfer RNA is filed under the name Rexea solandri (silver gemfish). Its description in RNAcentral is "tRNA-Tyr". It matches the Rfam family "tRNA". Rfam says of the family: Transfer RNA (tRNA) molecules are approximately 80 nucleotides in length. Their secondary structure includes four short double-helical elements and three loops (D, anti-codon, and T loops). Lineage: Eukaryota; Metazoa; Chordata; Actinopteri; Scombriformes; Gempylidae. The record is from RNAcentral.